This 253-nucleotide ribosomal RNA is filed under the name uncultured bacterium. RNAcentral's name for it is "partial 16S ribosomal RNA". It matches the Rfam family "Bacterial small subunit ribosomal RNA", at positions 524 to 776 of the family's 1533-position model. The record is from RNAcentral.
UACGGAGGGUGCAAGCGUUAUCCGGAUUCACUGGGCUUAAAGGGUGCGUAGGCGGGCAGGUAAGUCAGGGGUGAAAUCCCCGAGCUUAACUUGGGAACUGCCGUUGAUACUAUCUGUCUUGAAUAUCGUGGAGGUUAGCGGAAUAUGUCAUGUAGCGGUGAAAUGCAUAGAGAUGACAUAGAACACCAAUUGCGAAGGCAGCUGGCUGCACGGUAAUUGACACUGAGGCACGAAAGCGUGGGGAGCAAACAGG